RNAcentral lists this small RNA (1006 nucleotides) under Histoplasma capsulatum G186AR. RNAcentral's name for it is "hypothetical RNA". The record is from RNAcentral. Lineage: Eukaryota; Fungi; Ascomycota; Eurotiomycetes; Onygenales; Ajellomycetaceae.
GGCCAAGAUGCGGCGGCUUCCGGACCUGGGUAGGAUCGCAGGAAUGGAGGAGUUGUGUUGGAUGUGGGUUUGGCAGAUGCGUGAUGUUUUUCCCGUUAUCGUCGUUAUCAUCGUUAUGGGUCAGUUCAUUGCCGCUACAUGAAGGAAAUAAGGUUACCCAGGCACGGAGUAUCUCUUGUGAGCAGUGGAGCGGGAACGACGGCACAGAUGGGAAUUUGCUCUUAUCAUCAUCAUCAUCAUCAUCAACGUUCCCUGUUAUGUGGGGGGCAAAAAAAAAAAAAAAAAAAAAAAAAAAAAAAAAAGAUCCCUCUCAUCAACUACCUGGUUCCGGCAAACAUGCUACCUUAUCUCCCUUUUCAGCGUCUAGCCUUUGUCCGUAUGUAUGUAUGGACUCUGUACUGUACAUGUCCUACAUAUACGCACACACAUACAACCGCGUUAUUGUCCAACGUUGCGAGACGCAAGGACCAUCGAUGGAAAUAAUCCCCCAAGCGGCGUGGAAUGCAUAUCCGGGUGCUGGAUAUGCACCGUGCAACUUGGGCCUUAUGAACCGUUGGCAUCUAUAAAGUGGAAUUUCCUUGUCUGAACCAUCGUCCAGGCUGGCUACAUGCGAGAUGGAAUAUGUGUGUAUGUAUAUGUAUAUGUAUAUGUAUAUGUAUGUUGUAUGUUGUAUGUUGUAUGUUGUAUGUAUCCCUAUGUCCUCCUCCUCGAUGUAGCCAUGUAUGUCUGCAUGCGGUGUAAGCUAUGCUCCGCACGCAAAAGACAGUACAAAGCAGAGAAAGGGAUGAAGCAUCCAUCCGUUAUCUCCAUACUAGAAAGCACAAAGGGCUGCUCUGCUUCCACGCCCGGAAGCGAGCAACAUCGCCGUGUAUGAUCAUUAGUAGUGUCGUCGUUUUCGUCAAGGGAUGGGAGGAUGUGAUUAUCAACCCGUACAAAUCCGUUAACUUGACAUGUAGUUCUAUCUUGAUAGCCGCUCAAAGAAGCAAAGAAAAAAAAGAAAAGAGAG